GGAUGAAGCAAUAUCUAAGGCUGCAGAAGGGAAAAGGCACUACUUCCACAAGAUAGAAGAAGCAAAAGAUAUCCCAGUGGAUGGGGAAGAGGCUAUAGAGAACAAACCUCCUUUUGAGACGCCAGAACAUAUAAACCUGGUAGAGAGUAUGCUAGAGUACCAUAUUGGAAAAGACAGUCAAUUUUCCAAACUUCAAAGUAGAAAAGAGAGAGGAAAAUCAUUUUGAAGUGGCAAGUGACAGUCACGGUUGGAGCCUGCCUUGCAAGAUAUCUUCAAAUCUGGAAUUUGCACGUCAAAGACCAGUGGGUUCUUUCGGUUAUAGACAAAGGAUACUAUCUCAAAUUCGAAGAAAAUAUUCCAUCCAUUAUGGUCAAGUCUUCAGUAUCUCAAGAAAAAGAAGCCUUUAAUGAAAGAAUGUCUAGAAAAACUACUUCAGCAAGACAUUUUUUGUCACGUGCCCUAGACAGAAGUAUUUCAAGGUGCUUAAGCCGCUGUUUUUCUCGCCCCAAAGCAAUCAGGGAAGUGGAGGAUGAAAUUAGACCUCAAGAAAGUGAAUUAUUUUCUGAAGAAGAGAACGUUAAAGGUGGAGAGUCUUCAAACAAUCAUGCCUCAUAUUCAUUUAUCAGAAUGGCUGACAUCCAGCUUCAGGAUGCAAAUUAUCACAUCCCUAUAGCUGUAUCACACAGAAGGUUCCUGAGGUUCAAAAUGUUUAACAUUUAUUUUCAGUUCAAAGGCAUGCCAUUUGGUUCUGCUCCAAGGACGUUUACGAAAAUUUAGUUCGGCCUUAUAGUCAUUUUGAGAAUAAGAAUAUUUCACUAUCUGGAUGUCAUCCUAAUUGUGAACGCAUGCCAGAAAAAAAGUAGAUACGAAGAUGGUUAUCCAGAAGUUGCAAGACUUCGGCUGGAUAAUAAACAUCGUCAAGAGUCCAC
Molecule: non-coding RNA, 929 nt
Organism: Pelobates cultripes (western spadefoot toad)
Lineage: Eukaryota; Metazoa; Chordata; Amphibia; Anura; Pelobatidae
Source: the annotation of a GenBank genome assembly